CAACCCUCAAGCCUGGCUUGGUGAUGGGGCACUACUUCCUCAAGGGAGUAGGCCCUGAAAUUCAGUGGCGAGCUCGCCAGGACCCCGAGCGUAGUAGUUAUAUCUCGCUUUGGAAGGCCCUGGCGGUGCCCUGCCGUUAAACCCCCAACUUCUGAAA
RNAcentral lists this unclassified non-coding RNA (157 nucleotides) under uncultured Diaporthe. RNAcentral describes it as "sequence contains ITS2". The record is from RNAcentral. Lineage: Eukaryota; Fungi; Ascomycota; Sordariomycetes; Diaporthales; Diaporthaceae.